AUUGAACGCUGGCGGCAUGCCUUACACAUGCAAGUCGAACGGCAGCACGGGUGCUUGCACCUGGUGGCGAGUGGCGAACGGGUGAGUAAUACAUCGGAACGUACCUUAUCGUGGGGGAUAACGCAGCGAAAGCUGUGCUAAUACCGCAUACGCCCUGAGGGGGAAAGCGGGGGAUCGCAAGACCUCGCGCGAUUAGAGCGGCCGAUGCCUGAUUAGCUUGUUGGUGGGGUAAAAGCCCACCAAGGCGACGAUCAGUAGCUGGUCUGAGAGGACGAUCAGCCACACUGGGACGAAGACACGGCCCAGACUCCUACGGGAGGCAGCAGUGGGGAAUUUUGGACAAUGGGGGCAACCCUGAUCCAGCAAUGCCGCGUGAGUGAAGAAGGCCUUCGGGUUGUAAAGCUCUUUUGUCAGGGAAGAAACACCGGCUCUAACACAGUCCGGGAAUGACGGUACCUGAAGAUUAAGCACCGGCUAACUACGUGCCAGCAGCCGCGGUAA
RNAcentral lists this ribosomal RNA (501 nucleotides) under uncultured bacterium. Its description in RNAcentral is "partial 16S ribosomal RNA". It matches the Rfam family "Bacterial small subunit ribosomal RNA", at positions 29 to 523 of the family's 1533-position model. The record is from RNAcentral.